Molecule: ribosomal RNA, 423 nt
Filed under: uncultured bacterium
Lineage: Bacteria
Description: bacterial SSU rRNA
Rfam family: Bacterial small subunit ribosomal RNA
Source: RNAcentral
AAGACCUUGCGCUUUUGGAGCGGCCGAUGCCUGAUUAGCUUGUUGGUAAGGUAAAAGCUUACCAAGGCUUCGAUCAGUAGCUGGUCUGAGAGGACGACCAGCCACACUGGGACUGAGACACGGCCCAGACUCCUACGGGAGGCAGCAGUGGGGAAUUUUGGACAAUGGGGGCAACCCUGAUCCAGCCAUGCCGCGUGAGUGAAGAAGGCCUUCGGGUUGUAAAGCUCUUUCAGCCGGAACGAAACGGUUACGGUUAAUACCCGUGACUACUGACGGUACCGGAAGAAGGAGCACCGGCUAACUACGUGCCAGCAGCCGCGGUAAUACGUAGGGUGCGAGCGUUAAUCGGAAUUACUGGGCGUAAAGCGUGCGCAGGUGGUUUUGUAAGUCAGAUGUGAAAGCCCCGGGCUCAACCUGGGAACU